AGGUUAUGAUGUGGACACUUGAGAAGCAGCUCAUUGAAGUGUCCCCAUGCUUUGAAGAAAAGGUCUCCAUCUCUCUGUUGAAAAGAUUGAAUAUCCCUUCUAAGCUG
This is a non-coding RNA of Corylus avellana, 107 nucleotides long. The record is from RefSeq and is a predicted model, not a curated record. NCBI's taxonomy places the organism in Eukaryota, Viridiplantae, Streptophyta, Magnoliopsida, Fagales, Betulaceae.